CAUGUAGGUGGAUAAUUAAGUCAGAGGUGAAAUCCUGCAGCUCAACUGUAGAAUUGCCUUUGAUACUGGUUAUCUUGAGUCAUUAUGAAGUGGUUAGAAUGUGUAGUGUAGCGGUGAAAUGCAUAGAUAUUACACAGAAUACCGAUUGCGAAGGCAGAUCACUAAUAAUGUACUGACACUGAGGGACGAAAGCGUGGGGAGCGAACAGGAUUAGAUACCCUGGUAGUCC
RNAcentral lists this ribosomal RNA (229 nucleotides) under uncultured bacterium. Its description in RNAcentral is "partial 16S ribosomal RNA". It matches the Rfam family "Bacterial small subunit ribosomal RNA", at positions 568 to 796 of the family's 1533-position model. The record is from RNAcentral.